AUAAAAAAGAGCAAAAGAAGGGCGUAUGGGGGAUGCCUAGGGUCUCAGAGGCGAAGAAGGACGUGAUAAGCUGCGAUAAGCUACGGGGAUGAGCACACAUCAAUUGAUCCGUAGAUUUCCGAAUGGGGCAACCCAGUUAGUUGAAGACUAACUAUUCAUACUAGGUAUGAAAGCGAACGUGGGGAACUGAAACAUCUAAGUACCCAUAGGAGAAUAAAACAACAGUGAUUCCGAGAGUAGUGGCGAGCGAAAUCGGAGCAGCCCAAACCGGCCUUGUUACGGCAAGCCCGGGGUUAUAGGACUGCAUUUAGAAGUAUAUUUUAACUUGAAUGACUUGGGAAGGUCAACCGUAGAGUGUGAUAGUCACGUAAGGGUAAAGAAUAUAGGACGAGCAGAAUCCUGAGUAGGUGGGGGCCGGUGAAACCCCCUCUGAAUUCGGCAGCACCAUCUGC
RNAcentral lists this ribosomal RNA (452 nucleotides) under Lacihabitans sp. CS3-21. RNAcentral's name for it is "partial 23S ribosomal RNA". It matches the Rfam family "Bacterial large subunit ribosomal RNA", at positions 1 to 460 of the family's 2925-position model. The record is from RNAcentral. Lineage: Bacteria; Pseudomonadati; Bacteroidota; Cytophagia; Cytophagales; Leadbetterellaceae.